Molecule: small RNA, 723 nt
Filed under: Histoplasma ohiense
Lineage: Eukaryota; Fungi; Ascomycota; Eurotiomycetes; Onygenales; Ajellomycetaceae
Description: hypothetical lncRNA
Source: RNAcentral
GCUGCUAAUCUAUCUAUCGCUGCUAAUCUAUCGCCGCUGCCAAUCUAUCCCUCACUGCUAAGCUAUCCCUCGCUGCUAAGCUAUCACUGCCAAUCUAUCGCUGCUAAUCUAUCGCUGCCAACCUAUCUACCGCGGCGAAUCUAUCUAUCGCUGCCAAUUUAUCUACCACUGCCAAUCUAUCUAUCGCUGCCAAUCUAUUGCUGCUAAUCUAUCGCUGCUAAUCUAUCGCUGCUGCCAAUCUAUCUAUCGCUGCUAAUCUAUCGCCGCUGCCAAUCUAUCCCUCGCUGCUAAGCUAUCCCUCACUGCUAAGCUAUCUCUCACUGCUAAGCUAUCCCUCGCUGCUAAGCUAUCCCUCGCUGCUAAGCUAUCCCUCACUACUAAGCUAUCUAUCACUGCUAAUCUAUCGCUGCUAAUCUAUCGCUGCUAAUCUAUCGCUGCCAACCUAUCUACCGCGGCGAAUCUAUCUAUCACUAUCAUUACUAGUUCAAAAUAGAACUAGAGCAUAAAUACACUAAACUUCUUUUGAUAGGUAAUGAUUUUUGAUAACACUCAUAGCAUUAUAUCAUCUAUAUAGGGUAAAUCAUGGUCCCAUUUGGUCCCAUUUUGUUAAAAUGGGACCAAAUGAGAUCAGAAUCAGUAAUUUAUAAGAAGAACAUGACCUGGGACUAGAUUUAUAAUAUAAACAGUGUAAAGUGACUAAUUUAAUAAACACUAUAUGAGACC